GACCUUGCGCCCCGUGCAGGGGCCCCCUAUAUUCGGCCUGUUCGCGGGCAACCGGGAACUAUGGCGAUAAACGCGCGCAGAAUAGGCGGAUCGGACCCGGGGGCGGUACCCGGCGGCUCCACCAGACACCCGAUCGUUGCGGGGGAACGGGGCCGAAACAGGAUCGACGGACGUUCAAAGGCGUUUGCUUUCGCUCGGUGAGCUACCACCGUCAUCGGUGCAAAAGUACAGUUGCCAACGACAACCGUGCUCCGGUGGCUCUGGCUGCGUAAGCAGCUCGGGUAACCGAAAAUCAAGUCCUUGGGCUUUGCCGUCCAGGGCGGGGUUCGCAGGUACCUGGCAACAGAAACCUGCACC
This 357-nucleotide transfer-messenger RNA is filed under the name Rhodobacterales bacterium. It matches the Rfam family "Alphaproteobacteria transfer-messenger RNA". From Rfam's summary of the family: Bacterial tmRNA, also known as 10Sa RNA or SsrA, is named for its dual tRNA and mRNA-like properties. Its role is to liberate the mRNA from a stalled ribosome. Lineage: Bacteria; Pseudomonadati; Pseudomonadota; Alphaproteobacteria; Rhodobacterales. The record is from RNAcentral.